AGGGUGGGAACAGCGUCAGGCGCGCGGUUCGACUGCGGCGCCACUCCCGCGCACCCGUAACCCGGGAGCCCCAAGGACAGCUCAGGCGGUACAGAACGCCGCCGUAGAGUGCAAGGGCAAAAGCUGGCCUGACGAGACCCUUCAAAGUACGGGGUCUCGACGCGAAAGCGCGGCCUAGCGAACGCUCGUGCCCCCACACGUGGGGGCCGGGCAUGACAGAAAAGUUACCCCGGGGAUAACAGGGUCGUCGCGGGCGAGAGCUCCCAUCGACCCCGCGGUUUGCUACAUCGAUGUCGGCUCUUCCCACCCUGGGGGUGCAGCUGCCCCCAAGGGUAGGGCUGCCCGCCCGUUAAAGGGGAACGUGAGCUGGGUUUAGACCGUCGCGAGACAGGUCGGACUCUAAGGGUGGGGAGUGCUGGCCGUCUGAGGGGAAGGUACCCCUAGUACGAGAGGAACAGGGUACCGGGGCCUCUAGUUUACCGGUUGUCCGGUAGGGCAGUGCCGGGCAGCCAC
This 513-nucleotide ribosomal RNA is filed under the name Sulfolobus sp. A20-N-G8. RNAcentral's name for it is "partial 23S ribosomal RNA". It matches the Rfam family "Archaeal large subunit ribosomal RNA", at positions 2308 to 2820 of the family's 2987-position model. Lineage: Archaea; Thermoproteati; Thermoproteota; Thermoprotei; Sulfolobales; Sulfolobaceae. The record is from RNAcentral.